UAAGUCCACUGGAAGUGCCUGUUCAUACAGGCUGAGAUUCUCAUAGUGAUGAGAAAAUUCUUGGAACCUGAUCCAGUUCAUACUGGCGUAGGAAAGUGGCGUAUUGCACUU
Molecule: non-coding RNA, 111 nt
Filed under: Staphylococcus carnosus
Lineage: Bacteria; Bacillati; Bacillota; Bacilli; Caryophanales; Staphylococcaceae
Description: TPP sequence
Rfam family: TPP riboswitch aptamer (THI element)
About the family: Vitamin B(1) in its active form thiamin pyrophosphate (TPP) is an essential coenzyme that is synthesised by coupling of pyrimidine and thiazole moieties in bacteria. The previously detected thiamin-regulatory element, thi box was extended, resulting in a new, highly conserved RNA secondary structure, the THI element, which is widely distributed in eubacteria and also occurs in some archaea.
Source: RNAcentral